AUAUGAGAUAUCUUUGGCACUUGCAUUCCGUAUGUAAAGAAAGAAAGAAUGUGCUAGGGCUGAUUGCACUUGUGAAUUGCAGAGGAAGAAGAAGAAGAAUUAUAAGUGCUAUUUGUUUUGCAUUUUGUUUCUCCAUCAUCACAAUAAGACAUAGAAGGACGGGCCUGGCGUAGCGGUAAAGCUACUCCUUGGUGACCUGGUAGUCGAGGGUUUGAAUCGCGGAAACAGUCUCUCCGUAUGUAGGGGUAAGGCUGCGCAUCAACCCUUCCUUAGGCCUCGCUUAAGCGGGAGUUUCGUACACUGGAUUUUGGCUGAGCAUAAGAAUGGGAAGUUGGCAAUUAUUACAUGACCGUUGGUUUUGUGUUUGGUUGUUCUGUAUGCAUUUGCAAGCAAAUCAGCAUUGUGGUUGUUUCUUGUUGAGGCUUGAACUUUCAAUCCUCUGUUAUGCUUCUUUUGGUUUCCAUAUUCCUGUACUUUUCUGUUAAUAAUUUAGGGGCCCUUUUUCUUUCUUCCAAGUUUUUCAUUUGAAUUUGCACAUAUUGCUAAGCUUGUUAUUCGGACCUGUUUGGUAGUGUUUUCAAACAAAAAUUCUUCUC
Camellia sinensis is the source of this 596-nucleotide non-coding RNA. NCBI's taxonomy places the organism in Eukaryota, Viridiplantae, Streptophyta, Magnoliopsida, Ericales, Theaceae. The record is from RefSeq and is a predicted model, not a curated record.